This 291-nucleotide long non-coding RNA is filed under the name Mytilus galloprovincialis (Mediterranean mussel). Lineage: Eukaryota; Metazoa; Mollusca; Bivalvia; Mytilida; Mytilidae. The record is from RNAcentral.
AACAUUUUCUUCUUUUAUGUGGUUAGGAUGUUUACACUAAUUAGAGAUUGAUGAGAGAAUGGAACACCAUAGAGACAAUCUGAGACACCCUUUGAAGCCAUGAAGUGUUGAUUAAGAUUUUUAAAAAUUUUCUGUAUAGUUAAAGAGAUGAUAGAGCUAAAUUCAUUCAAGUGAACCUACCCAGAUUUUGCCACUUAUUACAUAAUAAUUGAUAACAUAAUGAUUGCAUAAUAAAAAUAUAGCAUUCAUUUAAAAGAUUGAUCUUUUAUCUAUCUAUAUAUACUUCUUUUU